RNAcentral lists this ribosomal RNA (759 nucleotides) under uncultured Pseudomonadota bacterium. Its description in RNAcentral is "bacterial SSU rRNA". It matches the Rfam family "Bacterial small subunit ribosomal RNA", at positions 28 to 776 of the family's 1533-position model. RNAcentral also lists the same sequence under 2 other names. Lineage: Bacteria; Pseudomonadati; Pseudomonadota. The record is from RNAcentral.
AUUGAACGCUGGCGGCAGGCCUAACACAUGCAAGUCGAACGGUAACAGGAAGAAGCUUGCUUCUUUGCUGACGAGUGGCGGACGGGUGAGUAAUGUCUGGGAAACUGCCUGAUGGAGGGGGAUAACUACUGGAAACGGUAGCUAAUACCGCAUAACGUCGCAAGACCAAAGAGGGGGACCUUCGGGCCUCUUGCCAUCGGAUGUGCCCAGAUGGGAUUAGCUAGUAGGUGGGGUAACGGCUCACCUAGGCGACGAUCCCUAGCUGGUCUGAGAGGAUGACCAGCCACACUGGAACUGAGACACGGUCCAGACUCCUACGGGAGGCAGCAGUGGGGAAUAUUGCACAAUGGGCGCAAGCCUGAUGCAGCCAUGCCGCGUGUAUGAAGAAGGCCUUCGGGUUGUAAAGUACUUUCAGCGGGGAGGAAGGGAGUAAAGUUAAUACCUUUGCUCAUUGACGUUACCCGCAGAAGAAGCACCGGCUAACUCCGUGCCAGCAGCCGCGGUAAUACGGAGGGUGCAAGCGUUAAUCGGAAUUACUGGGCGUAAAGCGCACGCAGGCGGUUUGUUAAGUCAGAUGUGAAAUCCCCGGGCUCAACCUGGGAACUGCAUCUGAUACUGGCAAGCUUGAGUCUCGUAGAGGGGGGUAGAAUUCCAGGUGUAGCGGUGAAAUGCGUAGAGAUCUGGAGGAAUACCGGUGGCGAAGGCGGCCCCCUGGACGAAGACUGACGCUCAGGUGCGAAAGCGUGGGGAGCAAACAGG